UGGGGAAUUUUGGACAAUGGACGCAAGUCUGAUCCAGCCAUGCCGCGUGCGGGAAGAAGGCCUUCGGGUUGUAAACCGCUUUUGUCAGGGAAGAAACGAGUUUCUCUAAUACAGGGACUUAAUGACGGUACCUGAAGAAUAAGCACCGGCUAACUACGUGCCAGCAGCCGCGGUAAUACGUAGGGUGCAAGCGUUAAUCGGAAUUACUGGGCGUAAAGCGUGCGCAGGCGGUUAUAUAAGACAGAUGUGAAAUCCCCGGGCUCAACCUGGGAACUGCAUUUGUGACUGUAUAGCUAGAGUACGGCAGAGGGGGAUGGAAUUCCGCGUGUAGCAGUGAAAUGCGUAGAUAUGCGGAGGAACACCGAUGGCGAAGGCAAUCCCCUGGGCCUGUACUGACGCUCAUGCACGAAAGCGUGGGGAGCAAACA
This 427-nucleotide ribosomal RNA is filed under the name uncultured bacterium. Its description in RNAcentral is "bacterial SSU rRNA". It matches the Rfam family "Bacterial small subunit ribosomal RNA", at positions 355 to 774 of the family's 1533-position model. The record is from RNAcentral.